This 476-nucleotide ribosomal RNA is filed under the name uncultured bacterium. Its description in RNAcentral is "bacterial SSU rRNA". It matches the Rfam family "Bacterial small subunit ribosomal RNA", at positions 26 to 518 of the family's 1533-position model. The record is from RNAcentral.
AGGACGAACGCUGGCGGCGUGCUUAACACAUGCAAGUCGAGCGGAGAAUAUAGCAAUAUAUUCUUAGCGGCGGACGGGUGAGUAACGCGUGGGUAACCUGCCUUUUACAGGGGGAUAACACUGGGAAACUAGUGCUAAUACCGCAUAAAAUAGUGAAGUGGCAUCACUUUACUAUCAAAGGAGCAAUCCGGUAAAAGAUGGACCCGCGUCCGAUUAGCUAGUUGGAGGGUAACGGCCCACCAAGGCGACGAUCGGUAGCCGAACUGAGAGGUUGAUCGGCCACAUUGGGACUGAGACACGGCCCAGACUCCUACGGGAGGCAGCAGUGGGGAAUAUUGCGCUAAAAGUGGGGGAAACCCUGACGCAGCAACGCCGCGUGAAGGAUGAAGGUUUUCGGAUUGUAAACUUCUUUGAUUGGGGACGAUAAUGACGGUACCCAAAAAACAAGCCACGGCUAACUACGUGCCAGCAGCCGC